Molecule: ribosomal RNA, 468 nt
Filed under: uncultured bacterium
Lineage: Bacteria
Description: partial 16S ribosomal RNA
Rfam family: Bacterial small subunit ribosomal RNA
Source: RNAcentral
GACGAACGCUGGCGGCGUGCUUAACACAUGCAAGUCGAACGGAAAGGCCCUGCUUUUGUGGGGUGCUCGGGUGGCGAACGGGUAAGUAACACGUGAGUUACCUGCCCUUGACUUUGGGAUAACCUCAGGCAACUUGGGCUAAUACCGGAUAGGAGCUCCUGCUGCAUGGUGGGGGUGGGAAAGUUUCGCCGGUUGGGGAUGGACUCGCCGCUUAUCGGCUUGUUGGUUGGGUAGUGGCUUACCAAGGCUUGGACGGGUAGCCGGGCUGAGAGGGGGACAUGACCAAUCGGAACUGGAAUGAGACACGGACUCCUACGGGACGCAGGAGAGCAGAAUAUAGUAUAAUGGGCGGAAGCCUGAUGCAGUCCCGCAGCGUGGGGGAUGACGGCAUUCGGUUUGUAUUCCGCUUUCGCCUGUCACGAAGCGUGAGUGACGGUAAUGGGUAAAGAAGCACCGGCUAACUACGUG